This 366-nucleotide ribosomal RNA is filed under the name uncultured bacterium. RNAcentral's name for it is "bacterial SSU rRNA". It matches the Rfam family "Bacterial small subunit ribosomal RNA", at positions 440 to 793 of the family's 1533-position model. The record is from RNAcentral.
CAGUGUAGGAAGGUGGGUAUGUUAAUAGCAUAUUCAUUUGACGUUUAGCUGCAGAAGAAGCACCGGCUAACUCCGUGCCAGCAGCCGCGGUAAUACGGAGGGUGCGAGCGUUAAUCGGAAUUACUGGGCGUAAAGCGCAUGCAGGUGGUUUGUUAAGUCAGAUGUGAAAGCCCGGGGCUCAACCUCGGAAUUGCAUUUGAAACUGGCAAACUAGAGUACUGUAGAGGGGGUAGGAAUUUCUAGGUGUAGCGGUGAAAUAGCGUAGAGAUCUGAAGGAAUACCGGUGGCGAAGGCGGCCCCCUGGACCAGAUACUGACACUCAGAUGCGAAAGCGUGGGGAGCAAACAGGAUUAGAUACCCUGGUAG